Molecule: ribosomal RNA, 491 nt
Filed under: uncultured bacterium
Lineage: Bacteria
Description: partial 16S ribosomal RNA
Rfam family: Bacterial small subunit ribosomal RNA
Source: RNAcentral
AGUGAACGCUGGCGGCAGGCCUAACACAUGCAAGUCGAACGGCAGCACAGUAAGAGCUUGCUCUUACGGGUGGCGAGUGGCGGACGGGUGAGGUAUACACCGGACUCUACUUUUUCGUGGGGGAGAACGUAGGGGAACUUACGCUAAUACCGCAUACGACCUACGAGUGAAAGCAGGGGAUGUUCGGACCUUGCGCGAUUGAAUGAGCCGAUGUCGGAUUAGCUAGUUGGAGGGGUAAAGGCCACCGAAGGCCACGAUCUGUUGCUGGUCUGAGAGGAGGAUCAGCCACACUGGAACUGAGAAACGGUCCAGACUCCUAAGGGAGGCAGCAGGGGGGAAUAUUGGAAAAGGGGCGCAAGCCUGAUCCAGCCAGUCCGCGGGGGUGAAGAAGGCCUCGGGUUGUAAAGCCCUUUUGUUGGGAAAGAAAAGCAGCAGGUUAAUACCCCGCUGUUCUGACGGUACCCAAAGAAUAAGCACCGGCUAACUUCGUG